GGUUUUUUCUUUUUCAAUAUUUAGAAAUUUACCUCCUCAGUAAAUAAAUGAGUAUCAAAGGAUAUGGACUGAAGAUGAAUUUUUAAUGCAUGAUCACAGAGAACAUAGCUUGACAUAACAUGUUGCUACAUGGCUUUAAUACAUUUUUUCUUUCUACAGAUGCUAGCCAAAUGAAAGUUCCAUGGUUAAGAGAUACAGAUUUAAGCAACAGUCAUGCAAAUCCAGCCUCAUUUGCACAGCUUCCAAAUGACUUCUGGCACAAUUUGAGAGAUGGUCUUUCUACUUAGAAUGCCUCAUGCAGAACCAGUAAUACAGGUAACACAACAGAGCAGGGACGCGGUGCCUCUGUACUCCAGUGGACAGCUCCGGGGUUUGCUCGUCGGGUGUCUACCACGAGAGGUCCCCACAGCCCCACGAGCGGCGCUGUCGCUCCGUGAAUGUUUGCUGCCGCCACUGAGGUUUCUCCUAAGGCGACCGCUGAAGGCACGUUAAGGCAAGGCUGGGCUCCCAGUCUGGCGGGCCAUCAGUCACAGUAGCGCCUGUGAUCUCCGGGAUGACACUUCAUCAGACUCGGGUGUCUAAAAUUAAGCACCUAGAUAUGAGACUUGAUUUGGACAAUCGCCAACCACAGGAAGUUUAACUCGGGCAAAUGCCGGGUUGUGCACCUGGGACAGGGCAACCCUGGAUCUGUGUACCGACUGGGAGACAAGAGGCUGGAGAGCAGCCCCACAGGAAGGGAUCUGCGUGUUCUGGGUGACAGCAGCUGGACACGAGCCAGCAGUGUGCCCUGCGGCCCAAAGGACCAACCAUGCCCUGGGGGGGCCAAGUUCAGGGAGCGUUUGGACAGUGCUCUCAGAUACAGGGUUUGGAUUUGGGGUGGUCCUGUGUGGAGCCAGCGGUUGAACUCAAUAAUCCUUGUGAGUCCCUUCCAACUAGGUAUAUUCUAUGACUCUAUGAUUUAUUUUUCCCCUCCCUAAAUGAAUUUAUUCCCACUGGGAAUUACAACAUGUUGCAGGAAAACACAGAGCAGAAAACAAAGUCUGUUUGUCCAUCAAAGUGUUCGCUUGGGUUUGGAGUUCCUUUAGAUGACAAGAUGUUUAAAACCAUGGUAUUUGCAAGGUCCUAGCUUUGUGUUUGAAGCUGUGUGUCUCUGCAUUUCAAAAACCAAAGUUAUAUAGGAAAUUGUUCUUCCAAUAGAAAGUUGCAAAUGAACUCACAAAACCAGAACCAGAAAAAAAAUGCCACUGACCAAAUAUUUGUAAUCAUUAAAAAAAUAUGCUCUGUCUCUGAUGCGACCUCAAGUAAACCCAGCUACUGUUACUUCUCCCCAGAGCUGCUGUUGCAAUUAAGAUGGAAGUCUAAACUUCUUUGUGCCAGUGGGUGCCCUUAGCAAGCAGGCAAGGACUUUCCACGUGGUGCUUGCCAUGAUUUUACUGAAGUGUAUUCUGAGCGGCGUUUUGGUAAGCAUCCAGAUGACUUCAGGCAUGGGUAU
RNAcentral lists this long non-coding RNA (1492 nucleotides) under Numida meleagris (helmeted guineafowl). RNAcentral's name for it is "lncRNA (ENSNMEG00000019408.1)". Lineage: Eukaryota; Metazoa; Chordata; Aves; Galliformes; Numididae. The record is from RNAcentral.